UGGAGCAUGUGGUUUAAUUCGAAGCAACGCGAAGAACCUUACCAGGUCUUGACAUCCCGAUGCCCGCUCUAGAGAUAGAGUUUUACUUCGGUACAUCGGUGACAGGUGGUGCAUGGUUGUCGUCAGCUCGUGUCGUGAGAUGUUGGGUUAAGUCCCGCAACGAGCGCAACCCCUAUUGUUAGUUGCCAUCAUUCAGUUGGGCACUCUAGCGAGACUGCCGGUAAUAAACCGGAGGAAGGUGGGGAUGACGUCAAAUCAUCAUGCCCCUUAUGACCUGGGCUACACACGUGCUACAAUGGUCGGUACAACGAGUCGCAAGCCGGUGACGGCAAGCUAAUCUCUUAAAGCCGAUCUCAGUUCGGAUUGUAGGCUGCAACUCGCCUACAUGAAGUCGGAAUCGCUAGUAAUCGCGGAUCAGCACGCCGCGGUGAAUAC
Molecule: ribosomal RNA, 435 nt
Filed under: Streptococcus ovis
Lineage: Bacteria; Bacillati; Bacillota; Bacilli; Lactobacillales; Streptococcaceae
Description: bacterial SSU rRNA
Rfam family: Bacterial small subunit ribosomal RNA
Source: RNAcentral